Molecule: ribosomal RNA, 460 nt
Filed under: uncultured bacterium
Lineage: Bacteria
Description: partial 16S ribosomal RNA
Rfam family: Bacterial small subunit ribosomal RNA
Source: RNAcentral
CCUACGGGAGGCAGCAGUGAGGAAUAUUGGUCAAUGGGCGGAAGCCUGAACCAGCCAAGUAGCGUGCAGGAUGACGGCCCUACGGGUUGUAAACUGCUUUUAUACGGGAAUAACGCGCCUUACGUGUAGGCCUUUGCAUGUACCGUAUGAAUAAGCAUCGGCUAAUUCCGUGCCAGCAGCCGCGGUAAUACGGAGGGUGCGGGCGUUAUCCGGAUUUAUUGGGUUUAAAGGGUGCGUAGGCCGCAUGUCAAGCGUGCUGUGAAAUGUCCGGGCUCAACCCGGGCCUUGCAGCGCAAACUGGCAUGCUUGAGUCCGCGGAAAGCAGGCGGAAUUCGUCGUGUAGCGGUGAAAUGCAUAGAUAUGACGAAGAACCCCGAUUGCGAAGGCAGCUUGCUGCAGCGGAACUGACGCUGAUGCACGAAAGCGCGGGUAUCGAACAGGAUUAGAUACCCUUGUAGUC